RNAcentral lists this ribosomal RNA (775 nucleotides) under uncultured bacterium. RNAcentral describes it as "bacterial SSU rRNA". It matches the Rfam family "Bacterial small subunit ribosomal RNA", at positions 49 to 859 of the family's 1533-position model. The record is from RNAcentral.
CUACCAUGCAGUCGAGCGAUUUACUUCGGUAAAGAGCGGCGGACGGGUGAGUAACGCGUGGGUAACCUGCCUCAUACACAUGGAUAACAUACCGAAAGGUAUGCUAAUACAGGAUAAUAUAAGAGAUUCACAUGGAUUUUUUAUCAAAGCUCCGGCGGUAUGAGAUGGACCCGCGUCUGAUUAGCUAGUUGGUAAGGUAAUGACUUACCAAGGCGACGAUCAGUAGCCGACCUGAGAGGGUGAUCGGCCACAUUGGAACUGAGACACGGUCCAAACUCCUACGGGAGGCAGCAGUGGGGAAUAUUGCACAAUGGGCGAAAGCCUGAUGCAGCAACGCCGCGUGAGUGAUGAAGGCCUUCGGGUCGUAAAACUCUGUCCUCAAGGAAGAUAAUGACGGUACUUGAGGAGGAAGCCCCGGCUAACUACGUGCCAGCAGCCGCGGUAAUACGUAGGGGGCUAGCGUUAUCCGGAUUUACUGGGCGUAAAGGGUGCGUAGGUGGUUUUUUAAGUCAGGAGUGAAAGGCUACGGCUCAACCGUAGUAAGCUCUUGAAACUGGAAAACUUGAGUGCAGGAGAGGAAAGUGGAAUUCCUAGUGUAGCGGUGAAUGCGUAGAUAUUAGAGGAACACCAGUAGCGAAGCGGCUUUCUGGACUGUAACUGACACUGAGCACGAAAGCGUGGGGAGCAAACAGGAUUAGAUACCCUGGUAGUCCACGCCGUAAACGAUGAGUACUAGUGGUCGGGGGUUACCCCCCUCGGUGCCGCAGCUAACGCA